UGAGGAAUAUUGGUCAAUGGGCGGGAGCCUGAACCAGCCAAGCCGCGUGAGGGAAGAAGGCCCUAUGGGUCGUAAACCUCUUUUGUCAGGGAACAAAAGCGAGUAUGUAUACUAGUCUGAGUGUACCUGAAGAAAAAGCAUCGGCUAACUCCGUGCCAGCAGCCGCGGUAAUACGGAGGAUGCGAGCGUUAUCCGGAUUUAUUGGGUUUAAAGGGUGCGUAGGCGGCGAUGCAAGUCAGCGGUAAAAGCCCGGGGCUCAACCCCGGCGAGCGUUGAAAUCUGCAGUGCUAGAGAAGGCGAGAGGUACGCGGAAUGCGCAGUGUAGCGGUGAAAUGCUUAGAUAUUGCGCAGAACUCCGAUUGCGAAGGCAGCGUACUGGCGCCUGACUGACGCUGAGGCACGAAACGCGUGGGGACCGAACAGGAUUAGAUACC
RNAcentral lists this ribosomal RNA (434 nucleotides) under uncultured bacterium. RNAcentral describes it as "bacterial SSU rRNA". It matches the Rfam family "Bacterial small subunit ribosomal RNA", at positions 355 to 786 of the family's 1533-position model. The record is from RNAcentral.